AGAUUGAACGCUGGCGGCAUGCCUUACACAUGCAAGUCGAACGGCAGCACGGGAGCAAUCCUGGUGGCGAGUGGCGAACGGGUGAGUAAUACAUCGGAACGUGCCCAAUCGUGGGGGGAUAACGCAGCGAAAGCUGUGCUAAUACCGCAUAAGAUCUACGGAUGAAAGCAGGGGAUCGCAAGACCUUGCGCGAAUGGAGCGGUCCGAUGGCAGAUUAGGUAGUUGGUGAGGUAAAGGCUCACAAGCCUUCGAUCUGUAGCUGGUCUGAGAGGACGACCAGCCCACGACUGGGACUGAGACACGGCCCAGACCUCCGUACGGGAGGCAGCGAGGUGGGAAUUUUGGACAGUGGGCGAAGCCUGAUCCGAGCCAGUCGCCGCGU
RNAcentral lists this ribosomal RNA (382 nucleotides) under uncultured soil bacterium. RNAcentral's name for it is "bacterial SSU rRNA". It matches the Rfam family "Bacterial small subunit ribosomal RNA", at positions 26 to 402 of the family's 1533-position model. The record is from RNAcentral.